Molecule: ribosomal RNA, 497 nt
Filed under: uncultured bacterium
Lineage: Bacteria
Description: partial 16S ribosomal RNA
Rfam family: Bacterial small subunit ribosomal RNA
Source: RNAcentral
GACGAACGCUGGCGGCGUGCCUAAUACAUGCAAGUUGAGCGAUGAAGAUUGGUGCUUGCACCAAUUUGAAGAGCAGCGAACGGGUGAGUAACGCGUGGGGAAUCUGCCUUAGAGCGGGGGACAACAUUUGGAAACGAAUGCUAAUACCGCAUAACAACUUUAAACAUAAGUUUUAAGUUUGAAAGAUGCAAUUGCAUCACUCAAAGAUGAUCCCGCGUUGUAUUAGCUAGUUGGUGAGGUAAAGGCUCACCAAGGCGAUGAUACAUAGCCGACCUGAGAGGGUGAUCGGCCACAUUGGGACUGAGACACGGCCCAAACUCCUACGGGAGGCAGCAGUAGGGAAUCUUCGGCAAUGGACGAAAGUCUGACCGAGCAACGCCGCGUGAGUGAAGAAGGUUUUCGGAUCGUAAAACUCUGUUGGUAGAGAAGAACGUUGGUGAGAGUGGAAAGCUCAUCAAGUGACGGUAACUACCCAGAAAGGGACGGCUAACUACGUG